UGAGGAAUAUUGCCCAAUGGACGCGAGUCUGAGGCAGCAACGCCGCGUGGGCGAUGAAGGCUUUCGGGUUGUAAAGCCCUUUUCUGGGGGAAGAGGAAGGACGGUACCUCAGGAAUAAGUCACGGCUAACUACGUGCCAGCAGCCGCGGUAAUACGUAGGUGGCAAGCGUUAUCCGGAUUCACUGGGCGUAAAGCGCGUGCAGGCGGUUUCGUAAGUCGGACGUGAAAGCUCCUGGCUUAACUGGGAGAGGUCGCUCGAUACUGCGGGGCUUGAGGUCGGGAGAGGGACGUGGAAUUCCCGGUGUAGUGGUGGAAUGCGUAGAUAUCGGGAGGAACACCAGUGGCGAAGGCGACGUCCUGGCCCGCACCUGACGCUGAGACGCGAAAGCGUGGGUAGCGAACGG
RNAcentral lists this ribosomal RNA (404 nucleotides) under uncultured bacterium. RNAcentral's name for it is "bacterial SSU rRNA". It matches the Rfam family "Bacterial small subunit ribosomal RNA", at positions 355 to 775 of the family's 1533-position model. The record is from RNAcentral.